AUGGAUUUAUGAUUCAGGCUCGAGCCACUGAGCCAGAAUCUGAUCUUAGGGUCACCAUUACAAGCACAUGCACAUCAAUCGAUUUGAUCAUCUUCAACUCUUUGAUCCGAUCCCAAGCACUCUUGAUCCGAUCGUGAUCAACUCCUUGAUCCGACAUCGAUCAAUCGCCCAUCUCAAUCCGUGUCCAUCAUGUGCGAUAGGCUUGUAAUUCAAUCAACCAUUGACGUGCAAACACAUCAU
This 240-nucleotide long non-coding RNA is filed under the name Elaeis guineensis (African oil palm). Its description in RNAcentral is "long non-coding RNA (EGUI_LNC013080)". The record is from RNAcentral. Lineage: Eukaryota; Viridiplantae; Streptophyta; Magnoliopsida; Arecales; Arecaceae.